GUUGUGUCGAGGUGGUGUUUAUGAUGUUUUGUAAUGAAAUGAGGGGUUUCAAAAGAUGAAGACCAGGGCUUACAAACGCACCUGAAACGGGUCAAGGAUUUAACAGGAAGCUUUGAGAGAAUCUCCAACACCAACAUCUCU
Hibiscus syriacus is the source of this 141-nucleotide long non-coding RNA. RefSeq lists it as uncharacterized. The record is from RefSeq and is a predicted model, not a curated record. NCBI's taxonomy places the organism in Eukaryota, Viridiplantae, Streptophyta, Magnoliopsida, Malvales, Malvaceae. The transcript has 3 exons.